Molecule: ribosomal RNA, 253 nt
Filed under: uncultured bacterium
Lineage: Bacteria
Description: partial 16S ribosomal RNA
Rfam family: Bacterial small subunit ribosomal RNA
Source: RNAcentral
UACGUAGGGGGCUAGCGUUGUCCGGAAUCAUUGGGCGUAAAGCACGUGUAGGCGGUCCGGUAAGUCCGCUGUGAAAGUCGGGGGCUCAACCCUCGGAUGCCGGUGGAUACUGUCGGGCUUGAGUACGGAAGAGGCGAGUGGAAUUCCUGGUGUAGCGGUGAAAUGCGCAGAUAUCAGGAGGAACACCAAUUGCGAAGGCAGCUCGCUGGGACGUUACUGACGCUGAGACGCGAAAGCGUGGGGAGCAAACAGG